ACAUCAAUCUUUAUGAAUAUAAUUUUUUCUCAAACCAAAUGGAGCUUAAGCCCUUUUUUAACUCCGCCAAUGCAACUUCUUGCAUUGCCGGUCCCAAGCCCGGGUAAAGGAGGAGGGAAAAGGGCAUCAAGGUCACUUGACAUAGUCGGCAUGGCCCACCCUCUGUUUGGUUGUAAGUAAAGUUGAUCUAUGUACUUUCAUAUGACAUGAUGUUUUAGAGGUCAGGCCAAUUAUCUGUCCUCUCCCAUUAACUUUUUCUUCUCUUUGAUUCUAGGCACCUAUUUUUACCGGCGGCCAUACUCCAUUUUCUUGUAGUGAUUCCCAUACAUGUAUGAUUUAUCAGUGAGGAAGAAGCAAAGAUGAAGAUCUAUAAUGUUUCU
Molecule: long non-coding RNA, 380 nt
Organism: Magnolia sinica
Lineage: Eukaryota; Viridiplantae; Streptophyta; Magnoliopsida; Magnoliales; Magnoliaceae
Exons: 2
Source: RefSeq, a predicted model, not a curated record